ACAACCUCAACUCCUUUUCAAUCGUGUUAUGCGUGAGGGAAGGGGUUGGAUUUGAGCAUAUCCACCGGGCCAUUUGGUUUGAGGGAUGCUUGAAAUGGAGGUUCGGCCGACAGUGCCUGGGCUACAAGCAUUUCAUACUUAAUCCCGUUAAACGGAUUAUAUCCUUUGCUGCAGCCAACAUACAGGGUAACUGUCAGUGUUCCGACUGAUGCAGGAAAGUUGAGAUGGGUUCUUCGGAUCCUAGCCUCUUCUAA
Molecule: unclassified non-coding RNA, 254 nt
Filed under: uncultured Mortierella
Lineage: Eukaryota; Fungi; Mortierellomycota; Mortierellomycetes; Mortierellales; Mortierellaceae
Description: partial internal transcribed spacer 2
Source: RNAcentral